CCUACGGGGGGCAGCAGUGGGGAAUAUUGCGCAAUGGGCGAAAGCCUGACGCAGCGACGCCGCGUGAGGGAUGAAGGUCUUCGGAUCGUAAACCUCUGUCAGCAGGGAAGAACGGUCACUGUGCUAAUCAGCAGUGAAUUGACGGUACCUGCACAGGAAGCACCGGCUAACUCGGUGCCAGCAGCCGCGGUAAUACGGAGGGCGCGAGCGUUAAUCGGAAUUACUGGGCGUAAAGCGUUCGUAGGCGGUAUUUCAAGUCAAGGGGGAAAUCCCCGGGCUCAACGUGGGAACUGACUUUGAAACUGGCAAACUGGAGUGUGUGAGAGGAAAGUGGAAUUCCAGGUGUAGGAGGGAAAUCCGUAGAUAUCUGGAGGAACAUCAGUGGCGAAGGCGACUAUCUGGCACAUAACUGACGCUGAGGAGCGAAAGCGUGGGUAGCAAACAGGAUUAGAUACCCCAGUAGUC
RNAcentral lists this ribosomal RNA (465 nucleotides) under uncultured bacterium. Its description in RNAcentral is "partial 16S ribosomal RNA". It matches the Rfam family "Bacterial small subunit ribosomal RNA", at positions 338 to 795 of the family's 1533-position model. The record is from RNAcentral.